AUAGUGGUGAGAACCCAGUACACGAUGCGGAUGCCUAUUACUUUGUGAUACACUUUCGAAGAGUCGAGUUGUUUGGGAAUGCAGCUCAAAUUGGGUGGUAAAUUCCAUCUAAAGCUAAAUAUUGGCGAGAGACCGAUAGCGAACAAGUACCGUGAGGGAAAGAUGAAAAGCACUUUGGAAAGAGAGUUAACAGUACGUGAAAUUGUUGGAAGGGAAACACAUGCAGUGAUACUUGCUAUUCGGGGCAACUCGAUUGGCAGGCCCGCAUCAGUUUUUCGGGGCGGAAAAUCGUAGAGAGAAGGUAGCAGUUUCGGCUGUGUUAUAGCUCUUUACUGGAUUCGCCCUGGGGGACUGAGGAACGCAGCGUGCUUUUAGCAUGAGCUUCGGCUUAUCCACGCUUAGGAUGCGGGUUUAUGGCUGUAUAUGACCCGUCUUGAAACAAC
RNAcentral lists this ribosomal RNA (443 nucleotides) under Sporobolomyces pararoseus. RNAcentral's name for it is "LSU rRNA". It matches the Rfam family "Eukaryotic large subunit ribosomal RNA", at positions 204 to 662 of the family's 3401-position model. The record is from RNAcentral. Lineage: Eukaryota; Fungi; Basidiomycota; Microbotryomycetes; Sporidiobolales; Sporidiobolaceae.